ACCAGCAUGGAGUAAUGGUUUGAAUGUUAGACUGCAACUCUGGAGACCAGGGUUUGAUUCCCUGCUCAGUCA
Non-coding RNA from Phrynosoma platyrhinos (Desert horned lizard), 72 nucleotides. The record is from the annotation of a GenBank genome assembly. NCBI's taxonomy places the organism in Eukaryota, Metazoa, Chordata, Lepidosauria, Squamata, Phrynosomatidae.